Molecule: long non-coding RNA, 100 nt
Organism: Saccostrea echinata
Lineage: Eukaryota; Metazoa; Mollusca; Bivalvia; Ostreida; Ostreidae
Exons: 3
Source: RefSeq, a predicted model, not a curated record
ACUUUUCAUACGUGGUUUUGUUAUAACUGUCCAUAUCGUCGAAAGAAGACGAAGGUUUCAAGUUAAAGAAACCGCUGAGAACAUGGAGAACAAUGGUUGC